This 3147-nucleotide long non-coding RNA is filed under the name Triticum aestivum (bread wheat). RNAcentral describes it as "long non-coding RNA (TAES_LNC012222)". The record is from RNAcentral. Lineage: Eukaryota; Viridiplantae; Streptophyta; Magnoliopsida; Poales; Poaceae.
CCCCCCUGCUCUCCAACGCCGGUGAGCCCCCCUCCCCCGGCCUCCUCUUUCCCCCUCUCCGCUCGCCCCGUACAGCCGCUCGUCGUGCUCCCGGCCUCGCCGCGCUUACACGCCACGCGCGCGCGAGCCCGCGCCCGCUCGCGCAGCGCAUCGUGGCCUCGUCCUCGGCCGUCACCCGCCCGCGCCCACGCGCCGCUGUCGCCCGGUCCGCGCGCUGGCCGCGCCAUGGCCGGCGUCGCCGCCCCCUGGUGGCCUCGGGCAUGCACGGGCGCCCACGCCCGCAACGCCCCUGCGCCCGUUAACCCACAUGGCCUCCUGGGCCACUUACCAGUGGGCCCGCCCCUGUUAAAAAAAGAAUAAAAAGAAAUAUGUAAAAUAAUAAUAAUAAUUAAAACUAAUUAAUUAACUUAAUUAAUCAUGUUAAUUAACCUAAUUAACUUAUUAGCUAAUUAAAUUGUUAAUUAGUGUUAGUCAAUGACACCCGGGACCCACGUGCUAGUUUGACCAGUCAAACAGUCUGUUGACUGAUGACAUCAUGCUGAUGUCAUGCUGACAUAGUAAUGGCUUUUAUCUAUUUAAAUUAAUUUUAUUAAUUUAGAAAAUGAAUUAAAACUUUGGAAAUUAAUAGAAACUAAUCCGUAGCUCGGAUGAAAAAGUUUUAUACAUUAAAGUUGCUUAGAACGACGAGAAUAAUCCGAAUAGGCGGUCUGUUCGCCCGGACAUGCCCCUAGCAUAGCAAACAUGCAACCUUUCCCCUCCAUUUCGUCUGCCCGAAAAUGCCAAACUUCGAGAAAACAUUCCCGGAUGUUUUUCCCCUUCGCUGGUAGCGUGUAGCACCGCGCUAGAACACGUCUAGCUCUAUCUGUUGUGAUGUUAUGCUCUUGCUUGUGAUGUAUUUACUGUUUCUUCCCCCUCUUCUCUCCGGUAGACCCCGAGACCGAUGUUGAUGUCCCUGUGAUCAACUACGUCGACGAUGACCGUCCUUCUUGUCUGAGCAACCAGGCAAGCCCCCCCCCCCCUUUGAUCCUCCCGAUAUCGCACAUUUUAUACUCUCAUGCUUGCAUUAGAUUUUGCUACUGUUAUUGUUUGCUCCUAUUCUGAUGCAUAGCCUGCUUUUGUAUCUGCUAUUGUUACCUACCUGCUUAUCCUAAACUGCUUAGUAUAGGUUGGCUAGUGAUCCAUCAGUGACCCCCACCUUGUCCUUGUCGCCCCUGCUUCAUCAUCGACGACCCGAUCAACGUGAUCGACGACCAGAGCCCGACACCUCACAUCACAUCACGCCCCUUUUGUUGCUUGACUCUGCAGAGCUACUAUCGAGUACCGAGGGUGAUCCCUCAUAACGCACUCCUGAUGAAAAUUCUGUAGUGUAGCUAUUUAGUCGUGGUCAUCGAGGGUGAUUUCCUCUUUCACCAUUCCCGAUACGGCUCUGUCGUUCAACACCUCAAGUGUGAACCUCGAGGGUGGUCCCUCUUACGUUCACCUUGAUGAUUACAUUGAGUGGAAUCCACCGGGAGUGAUUCCUCGGGUUUUCCCUUGAUGUCUGGACACACAAUUACCUUGACUUUACUUGAGACCUUGGUGAAAGUCAGGCGGGCCCGGAGAGCACCCGCAAUAUAAUGACGUGGCACGGCCGGGCAUUCUAGGACCUUGUCGUAAGUCCACGAGACGGGACGACAAGAUCACUUUCGAUCGUGAGUCUCUGCUCGUCUCCGCAAGCUAAUAAUGCACUAUGGUUUGGGUAUUUGUUCUGAGUUGGCCUUUGGCCUUUACGCAUCAACCACCACGUGAGAAUAGUUAUGGGCCUCGACGUCGUGGUAUCAGCCGAAGCUUUGUCAGACGUCCAGUUCAGCAUUGCGGCACGGCCUGGUCGGCGCCCCAGUGGAGGUGGCCUGGAUCGCCCUGCGCGCAACGAUCCGGAGUGCAACGGGUGAUGGGCCCAGACCCCGGAGUGCUUAGGAUGUAGACCGGCGGGCACCUCUCUACUGAGCCUAGGUAGGCUACGACGUGUUGAUCUUCCAAGGCCUUCCAAGGCCGGGCAUUGACCCAGAAAAGUGUGUCCGGCCAGAGUGAUCGAGCGUGUUGGAAAAUGUGAUGCAUCCCUGCAGGGAAGAUUAUCUAUUAAUAGCCGUGUCCACGGUAACGGACGUUCAGACUUAUAUCCUGGUCUUAUACAACUACGAAUGGAUACUUGAAAUAUGUGGCUCCGGGAUUGCUUUCUCGCAGGGAGUCGAGGAAGGAUCUCUGGGCAUUAAUGUUACAACAUGCUUAUUAUUUAUAAAACUGCUAUUCUUUACUCUUCUACAUGCUGCAAGAUGCGAGGAGCUGCGUGAAGAUGCUAGUCUUUGAUAGGCUAGGCCUUCCCCUUCUAUUCUGGCAUUUUGCAGUUCAGUCCAUAGAUACAAACCUUCCAUUUGAUACCGGUGCAUACUUAGUAUUGAUCUGAUGCUUGCGAGUACUUUGGAUGAGUACUCACGGUUGCUUUGCUACACCUUUCUCCCUUCUUUCUUCUUUCCGGUUGAUGCAACCAGAUGGUGGAUCCUUGGAGCCAGAUGCCACCGCCGACGGAUACUGCUACGUGGAGACCGCCGAUGACCAGGAGUAGUUAGGAGGUCCCAGGCAGGAGGCCUUGCCUCUUCAAUCGUGUUGCUUUUGUGCUAGCCUUCUUAAGGAAAACUUUGUUUAACUUAUGUCUGUACUCAGAUAUUGUUGCUUCCGUUGAUCUCUUGUGUAUCGAGCUAUGUAUUCGAGCCCUCGAGGCCCCUGGCUUGUAAUAUAAAACUUGUAUUAUUUCAUUUGGUGUCUAGAGUUGUGUUGUGAUAUCUUCCCGUGAGUCCCUGAUCUUGAUCGUACACAUUUGCGUGUAUGAUUAAUGUACGAUUAAAUCGGGGGCGUCACUUCCGAUCUUCAGAUCUUCCGAUCUUCAGAUCUCCAUAUUUGGUGACUGCGGUGUUUUGAUAUUUCGUUGGAUUACUAUCUGUAUUUGGGGAUUAGCUAUGAAUUAAUGUUUUUACUUCGAGCAUGGAUAGUCGGCAGUACUGAUUUAGGUCUUUUUGUUGAACAGAAUGAUUAGCUCGUCUAUUUCUGGAGAACUGCACUAUAGAUGAUAUAUUUAUGAACGAUCUUAACACUGAAAAUGCAAAAUUUCUG